GGCGCAACCUGAGGCCACAGGCAGACGGAAUGGAUGUAUCGCUUUGGUAUCCCCUUCCGAGAGGAGCCCUCCCCAACUCCUCUGGGUAACUGUGGCUUUCCCCGCCGCUCCCUAAGCUGGCAGAGUCCCCCGCGGGGCCCUUCUGUGUCCCUCAGCACCCCCUGCUCAGCGCUGUGCCAUCGCUGUCCCCAUCCCGCUCUCCUCAAAGUCUGUCCCGGCUCAGAGCGCCCACAGCCCCGAGCGCGGCCUCACCCACGCACUGCACUCCUUCCCCUGCUCCCAUCUCCUCCUCCUUCCCGGCUCCGCGUCCCCAGCUGGGAGGACAGAGGACAACACCGCCUGCGCUCCCGAUCCCUUCCGCAUCGUUCCCGGGGACAAAAAGUCUCCCUGGAUAUUUCACCGUCUCCACCCCACAGCCUGACGCAGCCCCGCUUGGAAGGACAGCCAUGGGCAGAAGUCCCCCCUCACACUGAACCCCAUCUCCUCAUCCCAAGGAGAUCUGUGCUCCCCGGCUCCGUUUGCUGAUGGCUGCGCAGUUUCUGCACUCACCCAGCAGUGGCUCAGCACAGCGGCUCCUGCAGCACUUUGCACGGGGCUGUUUGUGGAGCAGCGCUAUCUGCGAUCCCAGCACUGCCCUCCUCCUGACGCUGCCUAUAAGAGCGCUGCUGAGCUGCACAGCGGUUCCAGCCCCGGCACUGCUGUGCAGGAGGAGAGCAGGAACAGCACGAGUGCAGCAGGCAGACCUGGGGACACAGCGCAGCGCUGUUUGGCCCCAAUAUCGAUCCCCAGGGAAGGUGAGUGGUUACCAGCUGGAUUGAAAACUCCAUUCCCCACCACUCUCUGGGCUCAGCCAUGCAGCCAGGUCUUUACCCAGCAAGGAGUGGAUCUGCCCAAGUCCCAGGCUGCCAGCUUCUCCAGGAGAAAGACAGAUUAAUUGGUAAAGCAAAACCAAAGCCUUCAGCUGAGCAGGAAUCACAGCUUCUUCAUCUCUGCCUUCAGCAACAGUGACCCACCAGGGUGGGUUUGGGGACCCUCGAAGAAUGCGUGAAAAAGAAACUCCUCAGCCUCAAAGUGCUGCUGUCAACAAGAAGGAAAGGGGAAGUGUCCCGUGAGUGUCUGUUGGGCUCCUGAAGGGAUAAUUACAGACUGCAAACCGCCUCCAUUGCUGUGGAAGGGAGAUUGGAAUGAGACAGCCGCUAUCCCGUCUCGAAUGCAGAUCUUGGUGGGCCAUAACGUGCCUGCCCAGCAAGGAUUUAUUGUACCAAUCUAUAACAUAAUCUGGUAUGACAUAUUAGUAAACAGCCCUUUAAAGAUAACCCCACUACCGCCAAUCGGUGCGUUGGGAAGGAUUGCCAAGCACUUACUGCUACACAGAAAUAAAACAGAGACCUCAGUCUGCA
This is a long non-coding RNA of Gallus gallus (chicken), 1400 nucleotides long. RefSeq lists it as uncharacterized. The transcript is spliced from 2 exons. Lineage: Eukaryota; Metazoa; Chordata; Aves; Galliformes; Phasianidae. The record is from RefSeq and is a predicted model, not a curated record.